AUACGUAGGUGGCAAGCGUUGUCCGGAAUUAUUGGGCGUAAAGCGCAUGUAGGCGGUGCCUUAAGUCUGUCGUGAAACUGCGGGGCCUAACCCCGUAUGGCGAUGGAAACUGUGGCACUUGAGUGCAGGAGAGGAAAGGGGAACUCCCAGUGUAGCGGUGAAAUGCGUAGAUAUUGGGAAGAACACCGGUGGCGAAGGCGCCUUGCUGGACUGUGUCGGACGCUGAGAUGCGAAAGCCAGGGUAGCGAACGGGAUUAGACCCCCCGGUAGUCCUGGCCGUAAACGAUGGGUACUAGGUGUGGGAGGUAUCGACCCCUUCCGUGCCGGAGUUAACGCAAUAAGUACCCCGCCUGGGGAGUACGGCCGCAAGGCUUAAACUCAAAUGAAUUGACGGGG
Molecule: ribosomal RNA, 396 nt
Filed under: uncultured bacterium
Lineage: Bacteria
Description: partial 16S ribosomal RNA
Rfam family: Bacterial small subunit ribosomal RNA
Source: RNAcentral